UCCGACCUGAACUCAGACGUGGUUACCCGCUGA
This 33-nucleotide ribosomal RNA is filed under the name Hemicriconemoides strictathecatus. Its description in RNAcentral is "partial 28S ribosomal RNA". The record is from RNAcentral. Lineage: Eukaryota; Metazoa; Nematoda; Chromadorea; Rhabditida; Criconematidae.